AUCCACAGGUUUCCCAGACUGGUCUCCUCUGAGCUUCAUCAUGUUGACUCUGAGGAUCACAGCACUGAUCCUGAUGGUUGGAAUCACUGCUGAUAUCAUCAGAACCAGAGGAAGCAAAAAGCCACAGAAAGGCAUUAAUGUUCAUGAUGCUGUUGAUGAGGAUGCAGUAGAUUAUGAAAAUGAUGGAGAAUGUUCUGCUGCUGCCACAAUCAGCCGACCUUCAUCUCAUCAAUACAGUUUAUACUAAAGCAACGCUUUAUUAUAUUUUGCUUCACUUUGCAUGCUUAACUAUUUACUUUUUUAUUUCCCAA
Cyprinodon variegatus (sheepshead minnow) is the source of this 311-nucleotide long non-coding RNA. RefSeq lists it as uncharacterized. The record is from RefSeq and is a predicted model, not a curated record. NCBI's taxonomy places the organism in Eukaryota, Metazoa, Chordata, Actinopteri, Cyprinodontiformes, Cyprinodontidae. The transcript has 3 exons.